CGAAAAUAAAUACUUCAAAUAAAAACUGCAGACUCUAUAGUAGCAAGAAAAGGGGUGUAGAAAUGCCAGCUAGGCUAAAUAAUCACUAAAAGUGAUUGGAAUACAGCCAUAUGAGGUAAUACUGAAAAUCUAUUGCAAUAUCAGUCACUGACCAUGUGAGGGAAAAAUUUACAAAAAUUGCAUACAAAAAAAAAAUUAUAUAUAUACACACACUAUACAGAAAAAUGUAUACAAGAAAUAAAAUAGAAUUACAAAACUACACUGCCAAAAUGGUAUAUGCCAGUGUCGGAGGACCUAAUUGAUCACUAUAACCAAGUCCCUAGAGGUAAAUGGAGUCUAGAGAAAUAUCACCAAAAACAAAGAAAACAUAGGCAAGACAUAUUGUACACAAUAUACAGAUACCCUAUGGUACAAAGCUGUACAGGAAAAGAGGCUCAGGACGAUGAUCCUAGACUACCGGGAUGAGAGAGCUGUAUAGUAUCAGAGAAAAACUGCAUAAACAAUAUUCUCAUUUAAUCCUCUGGGUGUUACUGUGUCCAGUUGAUAUGUCCAUUUUGCUUCCCGUUGAAGUAACAUUCUUGAUCUAUCACCACCCCUCGGAGGAGGUGGGAUAUGAUCAAUCGCUGUGAAGCGUAAUGAUGGUAGUCUGUGUGUUAAAGCCAAAAAAUGUUUGGCUACUGGUUUGUCGCUGUAGUUAUCCCGAUAGGCAGUGGUGGUGAUAGUUGACCGAUGUCCACGUAUCCUAUCUCUCAGGGUGAGGUUAGUUUUGCCCACAUACGAUAGUCCGCACGGACAGGUAAUAAGGUAUAUUACGUAGUCUGUGGUACAUGUUAUAUGAUGUCGGAUGUUAAUUCUUUCGCAACUGUGAGGAUGUGCGAAUGACUUGCCACUAACCAUGUGGCUGCACGUCACACACCCACUACACUUGUAGCAUCCUUUCUUGGUGAUAUUUGAUAUAGGCUGGUAGCAAUGAAGUGGGUCAUUCCUGACCAAAAUAUCUUUAAGACUUCUGUUCCUCUUAUAGCUGAAAAUCUGUCGUUCUCGAAAUAUUUUUGGAAGUUUAUCUGAUUGUAGUAGUCCCCAGUUCUUGUUAACAGAAUGUUUCACCGUAGAAAUGCCCGUAUGGAAUGUGAGCGGGAGAAACAUCCUAGAUGUUGGUGUUGCAUUAGUUUUGGUUACUUCAUUAUUUUCAGAUUCCCAUAUUUCAAUGGCACGAGUUUGGGCUUUCUGGAGAGUCUGAACCUGAUAUCCCCUUGCCCUGAAUCUAUUCCACAUUUGUUGAAACUGAAUGUCACGAUUUUCAGAAGUAGUGUUGUAUCUGAGAACUCUGAGGAAUUGAGAUAUGGGUAAUGAAGCCUUAAAUUGUCUGGUAUGGAAGCUGGAUGCCAUCAAUAGUGUAUUGCGGUCCGUCUCUUUACGGUAUAGCAUGAACUCCAAUUUUCCACGAUAUUUGUAGAUAGUGACAUCCAAAAACUGGAUGGACUGUGUGUCGUAUUGCAUACUCAAUUUCACAGAGGUAGGAGCAAGGUUGAUCUCAGUAAGCAUGUUCUUCAAUGACUCCAUAGUACCUGUCCAUACUAAAAAUAUGUCGUCCACAAAGCGAUGGUAAUGUUGUAUGGAGUCUCAAAAUUUCUGGAAGAUGUAUUUAUUUUCAAAUGUGUACAUAAAAGCGUUGGCGUAAGAGGGCGCCAUCGCCGCUCCCAUCACUGUCCCCGAGAGUUGUAGAAAAAAUUGUUUUUCAAAUUUAAAAUAAUUACAGGUCAAAGCAAUAUGUAGGAAUUCCAGUAAGAAUUCAAUGGGAGGUCCUGUGUAUACUGUGGAUUCACUCAAAACCGUUCUGGAACGUUCCCCCUUGCUUCUAUAGAGUCUGCAGUUUUUAUUUGAAGUAUUUAUUUUCGUGUAUUUACAUGAUAUACAGAGUAUAUGGAGUAGUCCUUUUUUCUUGUUCCUUUUUUUUUUUUUCUGUUCUGUCUUGAAUGUGGUUUUAGUCCACUAUCUAUAGAUUAUCAUUGAAUACCCAGU
RNAcentral lists this long non-coding RNA (2022 nucleotides) under Pelobates cultripes (western spadefoot toad). Lineage: Eukaryota; Metazoa; Chordata; Amphibia; Anura; Pelobatidae. The record is from RNAcentral.